This 2176-nucleotide ribosomal RNA is filed under the name Pseudomonas aeruginosa. Its description in RNAcentral is "partial 23S ribosomal RNA". It matches the Rfam family "Bacterial large subunit ribosomal RNA", at positions 1 to 2215 of the family's 2925-position model. RNAcentral also lists the same sequence under 2 other names. Lineage: Bacteria; Pseudomonadati; Pseudomonadota; Gammaproteobacteria; Pseudomonadales; Pseudomonadaceae. The record is from RNAcentral.
GGUCAAGUGAAGAAGCGCAUACGGUGGAUGCCUUGGCAGUCAGAGGCGAUGAAAGACGUGGUAGCCUGCGAAAAGCUUCGGGGAGUCGGCAAACAGACUUUGAUCCGGAGAUCUCUGAAUGGGGGAACCCACCUAGGAUAACCUAGGUAUCUUGUACUGAAUCCAUAGGUGCAAGAGGCGAACCAGGGGAACUGAAACAUCUAAGUACCCUGAGGAAAAGAAAUCAACCGAGAUUCCCUUAGUAGUGGCGAGCGAACGGGGAUUAGCCCUUAAGCUUCAUUGAUUUUAGCGGAACGCUCUGGAAAGUGCGGCCAUAGUGGGUGAUAGCCCCGUACGCGAAAGGAUCUUUGAAGUGAAAUCGAGUAGGACGGAGCACGAGAAACUUUGUCUGAACAUGGGGGGACCAUCCUCCAAGGCUAAAUACUACUGACUGACCGAUAGUGAACCAGUACCGUGAGGGAAAGGCGAAAAGAACCCCGGAGAGGGGAGUGAAAUAGAACCUGAAACCGUAUGCGUACAAGCAGUGGGAGCCUACUUGUUAGGUGACUGCGUACCUUUUGUAUAAUGGGUCAGCGACUUAUAUUCAGUGGCAAGCUUAACCGUAUAGGGUAGGCGUAGCGAAAGCGAGUCUUAAUAGGGCGUUUAGUCGCUGGGUAUAGACCCGAAACCGGGCGAUCUAUCCAUGAGCAGGUUGAAGGUUAGGUAACACUGACUGGAGGACCGAACCCACUCCCGUUGAAAAGGUAGGGGAUGACUUGUGGAUCGGAGUGAAAGGCUAAUCAAGCUCGGAGAUAGCUGGUUCUCCUCGAAAGCUAUUUAGGUAGCGCCUCAUGUAUCACUCUGGGGGGUAGAGCACUGUUUCGGCUAGGGGGUCAUCCCGACUUACCAAACCGAUGCAAACUCCGAAUACCCAGAAGUGCCGAGCAUGGGAGACACACGGCGGGUGCUAACGUCCGUCGUGAAAAGGGAAACAACCCAGACCGCCAGCUAAGGUCCCAAAGUUGUGGUUAAGUGGUAAACGAUGUGGGAAGGCUUAGACAGCUAGGAGGUUGGCUUAGAAGCAGCCAUCCUUUAAAGAAAGCGUAAUAGCUCACUAGUCGAGUCGGCCUGCGCGGAAGAUGUAACGGGGCUCAAACCACACACCGAAGCUGCGGGUGUCACGUAAGUGACGCGGUAGAGGAGCGUUCUGUAAGCCUGUGAAGGUGAGUUGAGAAGCUUGCUGGAGGUAUCAGAAGUGCGAAUGCUGACAUGAGUAACGACAAUGGGUGUGAAAAACACCCACGCCGAAAGACCAAGGGUUCCUGCGCAACGUUAAUCGACGCAGGGUUAGUCGGUUCCUAAGGCGAGGCUGAAAAGCGUAGUCGAUGGGAAACAGGUUAAUAUUCCUGUACUUCUGGUUACUGCGAUGGAGGGACGGAGAAGGCUAGGCCAGCUUGGCGUUGGUUGUCCAAGUUUAAGGUGGUAGGCUGAAAUCUUAGGUAAAUCCGGGGUUUCAAGGCCGAGAGCUGAUGACGAGUCGUCUUUUAGAUGACGAAGUGGUUGAUGCCAUGCUUCCAAGAAAAGCUUCUAAGCUUCAGGUAACCAGGAACCGUACCCCAAACCGACACAGGUGGUCGGGUAGAGAAUACCAAGGCGCUUGAGAGAACUCGGGUGAAGGAACUAGGCAAAAUGGCACCGUAACUUCGGGAGAAGGUGCGCCGGCUAGGGUGAAGGAUUUACUCCGUAAGCUCUGGCUGGUCGAAGAUACCAGGCCGCUGCGACUGUUUAUUAAAAACACAGCACUCUGCAAACACGAAAGUGGACGUAUAGGGUGUGACGCCUGCCCGGUGCCGGAAGGUUAAUUGAUGGGGUUAGCGCAAGCGAAGCUCUUGAUCGAAGCCCCGGUAAACGGCGGCCGUAACUAUAACGGUCCUAAGGUAGCGAAAUUCCUUGUCGGGUAAGUUCCGACCUGCACGAAUGGCGUAACGAUGGCGGCGCUGUCUCCACCCGAGACUCAGUGAAAUUGAAAUCGCUGUGAAGAUGCAGUGUAUCCGCGGCUAGACGGAAAGACCCCGUGAACCUUUACUGUAGCUUUGCACUGGACUUUGAGCCUGCUUGUGUAGGAUAGGUGGGAGGCUUUGAAGCGUGGACGCCAGUUCGCGUGGAGCCAUCCUUGAAAUACCACCCUGGCAUGCUU